Molecule: ribosomal RNA, 700 nt
Filed under: uncultured bacterium
Lineage: Bacteria
Description: bacterial SSU rRNA
Rfam family: Bacterial small subunit ribosomal RNA
Source: RNAcentral
UGCAAGUCACGGGGGCCCGCAAGGGUAACCGGCGAACGGGUGCGUAACACGUGAGCAAUCUGCCGUCCACUGGGGGAUAGCCGGCCCAACGGCCGGGUAAUACCGCAUACGUUCCCUUGCUGGCAUCGGUGAGGGAGGAAACCUCUGGGGGUGGACGAGGAGCUCGCGGCCUAUCAGCUAGUUGGUGGGGUAACGGCCUACCAAGGCAAUGACGGGUAGCUGGUCUGAGAGGAUGGCCAGCCACAUUGGGACUGAGAUACGGCCCAGACUCCUACGGGAGGCAGCAGUGGGGAAUAUUGCGCAAUGGCCGCAAGGCUGACGCAGCGACGCCGCGUGGGGGAUGAAGCAUUUCGGUGUGUAAACCCCUGUUGCCCGGGACGAACCGCUCGUUUCGACGAGUCUGACGGUACCGGGUGAGGAAGCACCGGCUAACUCCGUGCCAGCAGCCGCGGUAAUACGGAGGGUGCGAGCGUUGUCCGGAAUCACUGGGCGUAAAGGGCGCGUAGGCGGUCUGCUAAGCGUGUGGUGAAAGCUCGGGGCUCAACCCUGAGUCGACCAUGCGAACUGGUGGACUGGAGCACUGUAGAGGCAGGUGGAAUUCCGGGUGUAGCGGUGGAAUACGUAGAGAUCCGGAAGAACACCGGGUGGCGAAAGCGGCCUGCUGGGCAGUAGCUGACGCUGAGGCGCGACAGCGUGGGGA